CCUACCCCUUGGGUUUCGGGACAACAGCGGGAAACUGUCUGCUAAUACCGGAUGUAGUCGUAGCAAUACGAGAAAAGGCCCGCAAGGGUCGCCAGAGGACGGGUCCGCGUCCCAUCAGCUAGUUGGUGAGGUAAUGGCUCACCAAGGCGAAGACGGGUAGCUGGUCUGAGAGGAUGAUCAGCCACACUGGAACUGAGACACGGUCCAGACUCCUACGGGAGGCAGCAGUGGGGAAUAUUGCGCAAUGGGCGAAAGCCUGACGCAGCCACGCCGCGUGAGCGAUGAAGGUCUUCGGAUCGUAAAGCUCUGUGGGGGGAGAAGAAGAAAGUCGGUGAAGAGCCGGCCCUGACGGUAUCCCCUUAGCAAGCACCGGCUAACUCCGUGCCAGCAGCCGCGGUAAUACGGAGGUGCAAACGUUGCUCGGAAUCAUUGGGCGUAAAGCGCGCGUAGGCGGCUGAACAAGUUGGAUGUGAAAGCCCUGGGCUCAACCUAGGAUGUGCAUUCAAAACUG
Molecule: ribosomal RNA, 511 nt
Filed under: uncultured bacterium
Lineage: Bacteria
Description: bacterial SSU rRNA
Rfam family: Bacterial small subunit ribosomal RNA
Source: RNAcentral